Molecule: ribosomal RNA, 562 nt
Filed under: Diaporthe sp.
Lineage: Eukaryota; Fungi; Ascomycota; Sordariomycetes; Diaporthales; Diaporthaceae
Description: eukaryotic LSU rRNA
Rfam family: 5.8S ribosomal RNA (bases 198-351)
Source: RNAcentral
GGCGACUGCGGAGGGAUCAUUGCUGGAACGCGCCCCAGGCGCACCCAGAAACCCUUUGUGAACUUAUACCUUACUGUUGCCUCGGCGCAUGCCGGCCCCCCUGGGGGCCCCUCCUUCUGGAGGAGCAGGCACGCCGGCGGCCAACCUAACUCUUGUUUUUACACUGAAACUCUGAGAAUAAAACAUAAAUGAAUCAAAACUUUCAACAACGGAUCUCUUGGUUCUGGCAUCGAUGAAGAACGCAGCGAAAUGCGAUAAGUAAUGUGAAUUGCAGAAUUCAGUGAAUCAUCGAAUCUUUGAACGCACAUUGCGCCCUCUGGUAUUCCGGAGGGCAUGCCUGUUCGAGCGUCAUUUCAACCCUCAAGCCUGGCUUGGUGAUGGGGCACUGCUUUUACCCAAAAGCAGGCCCUGAAAUUCAGUGGCGAGCUCGCCAGGACCCCGAGCGCAGUAGUUAAACCCUCGCUUUGGAAGGCCCUGGCGGUGCCCUGCCGUUAAACCCCCAACUUCUGAAAAUUUGACCUCGGAUCAGGUAGGAAUACCCGCUGAACUUAAGCAUAUCUAA